RNAcentral lists this ribosomal RNA (254 nucleotides) under uncultured bacterium. RNAcentral describes it as "partial 16S ribosomal RNA". It matches the Rfam family "Bacterial small subunit ribosomal RNA", at positions 524 to 777 of the family's 1533-position model. The record is from RNAcentral.
UACAGGGGGUGCAAACGUUGCUCGGAAUCAUUGGGCGUAAAGCGCACGUAGGCGGUUCGUUAUGUCGGAUGUGAAAGCCCUUGGCUUAACCGAGGAAGUGCAUCCGAAACUGGCGAGCUAGAGUACGAAAGAGGAUCGCGGAAUUCCCGGUGUAGAGGUGAAAUUCGUAGAUAUCGGGAGGAACACCGGUGGCGAAGGCGGCGAUCUGGGUCGAUACUGACGCUGAGGCGCGAAAGCGUGGGGAGCAAACAGGG